CCUGUGUUCGCUUCGUCGGAACCAGUGAAGCAGCAUCUGCUCCCUCGAUUGGUGGUGGUGGUCGUCUUCUCAACCAGAGGCUUUGUAGAAUCUAGU
Non-coding RNA from Arachis ipaensis, 96 nucleotides. The record is from RefSeq and is a predicted model, not a curated record. Lineage: Eukaryota; Viridiplantae; Streptophyta; Magnoliopsida; Fabales; Fabaceae.